AUGUGGGAGGAGCGGAGGGGAUGUGGGAGGAGCGGAGGGGAUGUGGGAGGAGCGGAGGGGAUGUGGGAGGAGCGGAGGGGAUGUUGGAAGAGCGGUCUGUUACAGUGCCUGGUUGUCGAGGAGGCUGUGCUGCAGGAACCAAAGGCAUCAAUAACACUUGAAAGAAGAGACUGGACGACGAUGUUCAAGAAAAGCAGAAGCAAAGUGCUGGUGGAUGACGCGUCAGAAGAGGAUGACAUGUCGUGGCACUACGACCACUGCUAUAAGACCUCCUGUGUGUAUCCAACUCAUGGCUACAAGCUCAGGGCCCAUCAUGGCUUUAUCAUUUUACAUUUUCACCCAGGUGUGAUACAGCAGUAUUGUCAACUGUUCCGGCUGCCUAUUAGGACAAAGACAUAG
Molecule: long non-coding RNA, 399 nt
Filed under: Gadus morhua (Atlantic cod)
Lineage: Eukaryota; Metazoa; Chordata; Actinopteri; Gadiformes; Gadidae
Description: lncRNA (ENSGMOG00000024290.1)
Source: RNAcentral